Molecule: ribosomal RNA, 301 nt
Filed under: uncultured bacterium
Lineage: Bacteria
Description: partial 16S ribosomal RNA
Rfam family: Bacterial small subunit ribosomal RNA
Source: RNAcentral
CAGCAGCCACGGUAAUACGUAGGGUGCGAGCGUUAAUCGGAAUUACUGGGCGUAAAGCGUGCGCAGGCGGUUGUGUAAGACAGGUGUGAAAUCCCCGGGCUUAACCUGGGAACUGCGCUUGUGACUGCACAGCUAGAGUAUGGCAGAGGGGGGUGGAAUUCCACGUGUAGCAGUGAAAUGCGUAGAGAUGUGGAGGAACACCGAUGGCGAAGGCAGCCCCCUGGGCCAAUACUGACGCUCAUGCACGAAAGCGUGGGGAGCAAACAGGAUUAGAUACCCGGGUAGUCCCUGUCUCUUAUAA